RNAcentral lists this ribosomal RNA (254 nucleotides) under uncultured bacterium. RNAcentral's name for it is "partial 16S ribosomal RNA". It matches the Rfam family "Bacterial small subunit ribosomal RNA", at positions 524 to 776 of the family's 1533-position model. The record is from RNAcentral.
UACGAGGGGAGCAAGCGUUGUUCGGAUUUACUGGGCGUAAAGGGCGCGUAGGCGGUCGUGACAAGUCACUUGUGAAAUCUCCGGGCUUAACUCGGAACGGUCAAGUGAUACUGUCGGACUAGAGUACAGAAGGGGCAACUGGAAUUCUCGGUGUAGCGGUGAAAUGCGUAGAUAUCGAGAGGAACACCUGCGGCGAAGGCGGGUUGCUGGGCUGAUACUGACACUGAGAGACGAAAGCUAGGGGAGCGAAUGGG